GGGGGGUAUUCCAGAAAGCUUGGUUAACUUACCAUUUGAUAAACUAUAACCUCUGGGUUGAUUUACCCCAAACAGGCAUACCAUGAGUAUGUCGGUUCCAAAACACCUGAGAAGAGUUAGCUUAAUCAACCUCUGACUGGUUACCCAGAGUUAAUGCGCGUGCACGGUGCAUGUAUAAAGACAUUUUCAAUGGAUCGCCGAUUUCACGAGUCACCAUGGAAACUCAAAGCGAAAAAAAGAGAGCCGCGUAUUUCACAGAGGCGGAGUUGGAAGUUUUAAUGCAUGCUUAUGAGGAGUUUAAGCCAAUAAUAUUAAAAAGAAGCAAUACAGCUGCAUCGGCUAAAGCAAGAGAGUUGGCUUGGCAAAAAAUAACGGACAGAGUAAAUGCGUGAGUGUAUUAAAUUACAAAUUUGGUAUUGGCUCCCGUUUUAUUGAAAUGCAAAAUAAUGAAGUAUGACUUAUACAUACUUUUGAAUAUGUUAAAUCACUAUGAAAGCAUUUACUUUUCCUGCCAUUUUAUUUCUUUAGCUUGAAAUAAUAAUGUAUAUUUCUUAUUUAAUAAGGUGUAAUCCUUCUGGAGCCACAAGAACUUUAAGCCAAGUCAAAAUGAAACACAAAAACAUUCUGCAAAAAGCUAACAGAAAAAAGACUGAAGCCCGUCUAACUGGCGGGGGGCCACCACCACCUCCCCUCACCCAUCUGAGGAGCUGGCUCUGUCCCUUAAUAAAGGGCGACCAGUGGUUGCUGGCAUUCCAGGGGGCAGUUCAUCACACAUACUAUGCACCACAAGUGAUGGUGAAAAAAGGGUGAAAUAUACUGAUGGACGGAUUGUAUUAUUGGACUCUCCAGAAAGAACACAGUCUGUCACAGUUGAUGAAGAUGAUGAUGACGAUGAAGAGACCACAUCUGCUGUGACAGAAGUGGACAAUGCUGGUAGAUCCACUGAGUACAUACCUAGGGAUUUGCCCACAGAUGAGGGUCCUUCAGCCUCAGCACACAAUCUAAGCAGGUUGCCAGCAAAGGAGCUGUAUAAGGUCCAUCUUCAAAAACAAAUAAGAAAAAGUGACAUGGAGAUGGACCUUAUACAGCUUCAAAUGGAAGAGAAAAGGCUCCUCAUUAAAAAAGCAGCACUUGAAAUAGAAUUACUUGAGAAUCGCCUUAAGGAAAUGAAGAAAUAAACUGCCUGGCAGACCAGUGCAAAAAAAACUAAUAAAAGUAAUUUUGACAAA
Molecule: long non-coding RNA, 1229 nt
Organism: Carassius gibelio (silver crucian carp)
Lineage: Eukaryota; Metazoa; Chordata; Actinopteri; Cypriniformes; Cyprinidae
Exons: 7
Source: RefSeq, a predicted model, not a curated record